RNAcentral lists this ribosomal RNA (253 nucleotides) under uncultured bacterium. Its description in RNAcentral is "partial 16S ribosomal RNA". It matches the Rfam family "Bacterial small subunit ribosomal RNA", at positions 524 to 776 of the family's 1533-position model. The record is from RNAcentral.
UACGGGGGGGGCAAGCGUUGUUCGGAAUUACUGGGCGUAAAGGGCUCGUAGGUGGCCGACUAAGUCGGACGUGAAAUCCCUCAGCUUAACUGGGGAACUGCGUCCGAUACUGGAUGGCUUGAGUUUGGGAGAGGGAUGCGGAAUUCCAGGUGUAGCGGUGAAAUGCGUAGAUAUCUGGAGGAACACCUGCGGCGAAGGCGGGUUGCUGGGCUGACACUGACGCUGAACUGCGAAAGCUAGGGGAGCGAACGGG